GCUCAGUAACACGUGGAUAACCUGCCCUUGGGACCGGCAUAACCCCGGGAAACUGGGGAUAAUACCCUAUAGAUUACAGAUGCUGGAAUGCCCUGUAAUCCAAAGUUCCGACGCCCUAGGAUGGAUCUGCGGCCGAUUAGGUUGUUGUUGGGGUAAUGGCCCAACAAGCCCGUAAUCGGUACGGGUUGUGGGAGCAAGAGCCCGGAGUUGGAUUCUGAGACACGAAUCCAGGCCCUACGGGGCGCAGCAGGCGCGAAAACUUUACAAUGCGGGCAACCGUGAUAAGGGAACCUCGAGUGCCUGUAAAUGCAGGCUGUUCAGGUGCCUAAAACACACCUGAAGAAAGGGCCGGGCAAGACCGGUGCCAGCCGCCGCGGUAAUACCGGCGGCUCGAGUGGUGGCCGCUUUUAUUGGGCUUAAAGCGUUCGUAGCUGGGUUGUUAAGUCUCUUGGGAAAUCUGGCGGCUUAACCGUCAGGCGUCUAAGGGAUACUGGCAAUCUUGGAACCGGGAGAGGUGAGGGGUACUUCGGGGGUAGGAGUGAAAUCCUGUAAUCCUCGAGGGACCACCUGUGGCGAAGGCGCCUCACCAGAACGGCUUCGACAGUGAGGGACGAAAGCUGGGGGAGCAAACCGGAUUAGAUACCCGGGUAGUCCCAGCCGUAAACUAUGCGCGUUAGGUGUAUCGGUGACCACGAGUUACCGAGGUGCCGAA
Molecule: ribosomal RNA, 712 nt
Filed under: uncultured methanogenic archaeon
Lineage: Archaea; Methanobacteriati; Methanobacteriota
Description: bacterial SSU rRNA
Rfam family: Archaeal small subunit ribosomal RNA
Source: RNAcentral